RNAcentral lists this long non-coding RNA (1500 nucleotides) under Bos indicus x Bos taurus (hybrid cattle). Its description in RNAcentral is "lncRNA (ENSBIXG00005020153.1)". The record is from RNAcentral. Lineage: Eukaryota; Metazoa; Chordata; Mammalia; Artiodactyla; Bovidae.
CUGAAAUGAAACCUCACCAACACUACCGUCACCUGCUGGUCACGGUAUGUACGUUCUCGGGAUGGGUAGAACCUUUUCCUCCCCGGACUGAAAGAGCAUCAGAAGUAGGCUGGUGCCUGCUUAGAGAAAUAGUUCCCAGAUUUGGAUUUCCUACCAGCAUUGGAUCAGACAAUGGCCCGGCUUUCGUAGCUGAUUUAGUAUAACAGAUAAGCAAUGUCAAGUGGAAAUUACAUACAGCAUAUAGGCCCCAGAGUUCUGCGAUGGUGGAAGGAACCAACCGGACACUUAAAGAGACACUCUCCAAAUGGAUCAUAGAGACUGACUGCUCCUGGGUGGACUUGCUUCUGACGGUUCUGCUCAGACUCAGGAUGACUCCAUGGUCCCAUGGCUAUUCUCCGUACGAAAUUGUGUAUGGGGGGCCCCCUCCCAUUAUAAAACAGGUGUCAACAAAUUUGCCUCAGUUAAAGUUGCAGGUAUUGCCCCUUGGAUCCAUCAUAUGAGGGUGAAGAGAGCAUACCACGCAGACCCAGAAAAUGCUGAGUGGACUGCACAGAGGGACCCCGCUGACCCUUGAGAGACUAAGAUCAUCCUUAAGAAGAAGAGGAAAAAGAAGAUCCUGGAUGAGCUCCUUCAGGAUGAAGUCACAUAAUCAACUCCUGCUGCUUGGUCUCAUCAGUGUGCACAUUCCUAUGUGGACUUCCACUCUACCUCCAACUGCUGGGUAUGUGGGGCUAUGCGUCUGUCUGUGAUCGAUGGACUUCCUGGUGGGUGUCACCACUCCGCCAAGGAGAUUUUAAACCACUCUUCUCUUUCCUGGGACAACAAAAAGAGACUUGACUUUCUCUUGACAAUCAUAAUCUCUCCCUGCUCUCUUGGUAUAAGCCAGACCUAGUCAAUAGAUUCGGGUCAUGGGGUUACAUAUUAUGUAAACACCAAUUUCAUAAAAGUAACAGAUGCGGUAAUUCAAAUUAGAAUGGUUUUGGACAUGCUCACAGCUGCUUAAGGAGGGACCUAUGCUAUAAUUAAGGUUGAAUAUUGUGUAUAUAUUCCUGAUUUAUCUGGCAAUGUAUCAGCUGCUUUAGAUGAUGUGAGAAACCAGGUAAAAGCAAUGUCAAAUGAAAACAUUCCUUUCUGAACUUGAGUACUAUCUUGGGUGAAGGGUGAUUGGUGGAAUAUAUAAUUGCCUUGAUAGUUCUGCUCUGUGGACCCUGCAUUUUACAAUGUAUUAUGAACUUUGUAACCCAAAGGUUGGUGUCGUUCUCCCAAAUGGGUGGUUUGAGAGGCAGGGUGCAAUAUAUCCCUAUGAAUGAUGCUCAUACUAUGACUUAAGAGCAACAAGAGGCGGGAAUGAAGGAGGAAACAGAACAGGCUGUAUCUUGAAAGCAGGACUCCAUAUUGGGCUGGACUGUGGACUUUGAGCUAUAUGCCCACUAUCUAUGGAAACAAUAUACCAACUGGAAAACCAGGCCCCCAGAAGGAAGAGCUAAAAGAAUACCCUAA